GAAAUCAAAGCCCAGGAAAGAGAAAUAAAAGAAGAAAAAAUUGCAAUCUAUAAUACACCGAAGGAUUUGGAUACUGAGAGUUUCUUCCAUCACUUUCCAUCACGCUGUGUUUUCUCAAAGUUCAUAUCUCAGACCCACCUUCUGAGCUGCAGGCCCGCUUGGAGCACACAGGAUUCUCCUCUGUCUGAGGGAGUUCACAGCAAUCCCACAAAAUGGCUCAGGGCUGGCACUUCAGUUUGGAGAUCAUGAUGGUAGAGAAGACCAAAACUGUACAACAGUUUACUGGGAAGCUGCUGGCCUUGGCUGCCUGGCUCACUGGGAAAAUCCUCCCUGUGCCUGCGUUGACAUGCUGGGUGCCCUUUUAAGGGGACUGCCACAGAGGCAUGAUGGCUCCUGAUCCAAGCACAGAAGACCAAACGGGCCCCUCCUACCUCUUGUUUAUGGAUCAGGUAUAAGCUCUCACCUACUGCCCUGCCUGACUGCCUCUGCCUGACUGCUGCCAUGAUCCCCACCACGAUGGUCAUGAUCUCACUCUCUGGUACUGUAAGCUCCAAUAAACUGUUUCUUCU
Long non-coding RNA from Psammomys obesus (fat sand rat), 569 nucleotides. RefSeq lists it as uncharacterized. The record is from RefSeq and is a predicted model, not a curated record. The transcript is spliced from 4 exons. Lineage: Eukaryota; Metazoa; Chordata; Mammalia; Rodentia; Muridae.